UUAAUCAUGAUUGAGAUGAAUUGAGCAUGUGGUUCUUUUAAGCGAUUACAUUUUUUAAGGAGCUGCUAGCUAGAACUGCGAGUGGAAACAUAGUUACCGCUGUUGCUUCUUGUUUCCAUUUUUCUUUUCGUUUUUCAUAAUUUUCUACAUUGAUUUUAUGUCUCUACUUCAUUUGUAUGAUCUCUUAUUCAUUUUUAUACUAACUGGAUUAAUCUUUCUAAUGCCCUUGUUUUUGUUCUUGGGAAGGUGAAGGCUGCCUACGAGAGGAGAUGUGGAGCCUGGGGAGAUUCCUACGUUGCUCGAUUUGGGGUUUAAUCCGAAUGCUGCAACGGGGCAGGUGGCAAUAACAGUCAACAGGAAGAUAGGAAGCUAGAUGUGGCAUUUUGGUUGGUGUUUCGAUGUCUUUUGAAUUUGGAAAAAAUGUAAGAAUUUGGUGAAGCAAGUGUUGAACACCAUUUUUUUGUUAAUAUUGUUUGGAUGUAAAUUAAAUGACUACUUUAGGUACUUUGAAGCUACAAUGUAUGGAAGUUUAAGUUAUUUUAUAUAUAAUAUGUUUUGGAUUGUAUUA
Salvia miltiorrhiza (redroot sage) is the source of this 568-nucleotide long non-coding RNA. RefSeq lists it as uncharacterized. NCBI's taxonomy places the organism in Eukaryota, Viridiplantae, Streptophyta, Magnoliopsida, Lamiales, Lamiaceae. The transcript has 2 exons. The record is from RefSeq and is a predicted model, not a curated record.